Molecule: transfer RNA, 108 nt
Filed under: Persephonella sp. MAR9793
Lineage: Bacteria; Pseudomonadati; Aquificota; Aquificia; Aquificales; Hydrogenothermaceae
Description: transfer RNA-Ile
Rfam family: tRNA (bases 1-74)
About the family: Transfer RNA (tRNA) molecules are approximately 80 nucleotides in length. Their secondary structure includes four short double-helical elements and three loops (D, anti-codon, and T loops).
Source: RNAcentral
GGGCCUUUAGCUCAGACGGUUAGAGCGUACCCCUGAUAAGGGUGAGGUCGGUGGUUCGAGUCCACCAAGGCCCAUAAAGGAGAUGNGGACGUAGCUCAGCUGGGAGAG